UAAAGGAAGCGAUUCCGGCUACGGAUGGUCAUGCGUCGCAUUAGCUAGUUGGCGGGGUAACGGCCCACCAAGGCGACGAUGCGUAGGGGUUCUGAGAGGAAGGUCCCCCACACUGGUACUGAGACACGGACCAGACUCCUACGGGAGGCAGCAGUGAGGAAUAUUGGUCAAUGGCCGCAGGGCUGAACCAGCCAAGUCGCGUGAGGGAUGACGGUCCUAUGGAUUGUAAACCUCUUUUGUCAGGGAGCAAAGGACGCCACGUGUGGCGUUUUGCGAGUACCUGAAGAAAAAGCAUCGGCUAACUCCGUGCCAGCAGCCGCGGUAAUACGGAGGAUGCGAGCGUUAUCCGGAUUUAUUGGGUUUAAAGGGUGCGCAGGCGGAAUGUCAAGUCAGCGGUAAAAUUUCGGGGCUCAACCCCGUCGUGCCGUUGAAACUGGCGUUCUUGAGUGAGCGAGAAGUAUGCGGAAUGCGUGGUGUAGCGGCGAAAUGCAUAGAUAUCACGCAGAACUCCGAUUGCGAAGGCAGCAUACCGGCGCUCAACUGACGCUCAUGCACGAAAGCGUGGGUAUCGAACAGGAUUAGAUACCCUGGUAGUCCACGCAGUAAACGAUGAAUACUAACUGUCCGGGCCGAUUGAGGUCUGG
This 644-nucleotide ribosomal RNA is filed under the name uncultured bacterium. RNAcentral describes it as "bacterial SSU rRNA". It matches the Rfam family "Bacterial small subunit ribosomal RNA", at positions 202 to 842 of the family's 1533-position model. The record is from RNAcentral.